Transfer RNA from Camelus ferus (Wild Bactrian camel), 73 nucleotides. It matches the Rfam family "tRNA". From Rfam's summary of the family: Transfer RNA (tRNA) molecules are approximately 80 nucleotides in length. Their secondary structure includes four short double-helical elements and three loops (D, anti-codon, and T loops). Further hydrogen bonds mediate the characteristic L-shaped molecular structure. tRNAs have two regions of fundamental functional importance: the anti-codon, which is responsible for specific mRNA codon recognition, and the 3' end, to which the tRNAs corresponding amino acid is attached (by aminoacyl-tRNA synthetases). tRNAs cope with the degeneracy of the genetic code in two manners: having more than one tRNA (with a specific anti-codon) for a particular amino acid; and 'wobble' base-pairing, i.e. permitting non-standard base-pairing at the 3rd anti-codon position. The record is from Rfam. Lineage: Eukaryota; Metazoa; Chordata; Mammalia; Artiodactyla; Camelidae.
GAGGGUAUAGCUCAAGCGGUGGAGCACAUGCUUAGCAUGCACGAGGUCCUGGGUUCAAUCCCCAGCACCUCCU